This 671-nucleotide ribosomal RNA is filed under the name uncultured bacterium. RNAcentral's name for it is "bacterial SSU rRNA". It matches the Rfam family "Bacterial small subunit ribosomal RNA", at positions 60 to 719 of the family's 1533-position model. The record is from RNAcentral.
AGUCGAGGGGCAUCAGUUUGGUUUGCUUGCAAACCAAAGCUGGCGACCGGCGCACGGGUGAGUAACACGUAUCCAACCUGCCUCAUACUCGGGGAUAGCCUUUCGAAAGAAAGAUUAAUAUCCGAUAGCAUAUAUUUCCCGCAUGGGUUUUAUAUUAAAGAAAUUCGGUAUGAGAUGGGGAUGCGUUCCAUUAGUUUGUUGGCGGGGUAACGGCCCACCAAGACUACGAUGGAUAGGGGUUCUGAGAGGAAGGUCCCCCACAUUGGAACUGAGACACGGUCCAAACUCCUACGGGAGGCAGCAGUGAGGAAUAUUGGUCAAUGGACGCGAGUCUGAACCAGUCAAGUAGCGUGAAGGAUGACUGCCCUAUGGGUUGUAAACUUCUUUUAUAUGGGAAUAAAGUGGUCCACGUGUGGAUUUUUGUAUGUACCAUAUGAAUAAGGAUCGGCUAACUCCGUGCCAGCAGCCGCGGUAAUACGGAGGAUCCGAGCGUUAUCCGGAUUUAUUGGGUUUAAAGGGAGCGUAGGCGGAUUGUUAAGUCAGUUGUGAAAGUUUGCGGCUCAACCGUAAAAUUGCAGUUGAUACUGGCAGUCUUGAGUGCAGUAGAGGUGGGCGGAAUUCGUGGUGUAGCGGUGAAAUGCUUAGAUAUCACGAAGAACUCCGAUUGCGAA